AUGCCAGACAGGGUUGGUUCUCAUCUCAAGGCUCAACUGGGAAAGGAUCUAUUUCUAAGGUCUCGUGGCUGCUGGCAGAUGUUGGUUUCUUGCAGUCAUAGGACAGAGGGCUUCAGUUUCUUGUUGGCUGUUGGCAGGAGGACACUUUUGGCUCUUGGCUGUGUGAGGCCCCCCCCCCCCCCCGCCCGCCGCCCCGGGGCCCCUCCGCCCUCCAGCCCCCAGUGUCCCGCACUCGUCAGGAGGAGGUCCUUCUAUUCGACCGAGGCGAGUCCCUCCUUGGUCCCGAGCAAGAGGCUGAGACCACAGCCCGUCCCAGGGAGGACUCCCAGCUGCUGGCGUGAGGGCUGGGGACGGGGGCUGAUGUGGGUCUGGGGAGAGCGGAGUGGGAGCGUGGCCGGGGAGCGGCGGCCGGUGGCCCUGCACGCUGCGCUGACCCCUGUGUGUGGGGCUGGCCGGCGUCGCCAGGGCUGCUGGGAGCCCUGCUGCCAGCCCCCAGGUCCCACUGCUCUGGGCAGCCCUCGGGAGUGGGGUGGGGUGUCCCCUUUGCCCACGUGGUCCCUAAAGGGCUUGUGUGCCCCACCUGUGGACACACGGCCAGACACGCGUGUGCGAUACACUUGUGUGCCGCACCCCCCGAGGGUGCCCACACAGAGCACCCCACUCCCAGCGUGUACCUGGGACAGGAGGGUGGCGGCUGCCUGGACCUUGGGCUGCGUGGGAGCCUCUGCGGGGGGCCACCAGCUGAGCUGCGGGGCGGGCUGGCCAGCAGCUCAGUGAGCAUCUGGCAGCCCCCAGGGGCAGCGGGGAGACAGAUGGCCCGCCUCCACCCGGCCUCGGGUGCUGUGGGCUUGGGGUCCUCCCCUGCCCAAGAGGGAGGAAAAGGAGGCAGGUGAGAGGCCGGGUCCCGGGCCGGUGGGCACCCCUGCAGCAGAGCCCGCCCCAUCCUCGUCCCCUAGUCCCCCUCCCCUCUCUCCUUGCCGCUGAUCCUGGGCCUGGGGCGGCCCUCAGGGCUCUGCAGGAGGGAAGGGGUGAGUGGACACUCCAGCUGCGGAGCUGGAGGGAGUGCCAGCUGGGCAGCUCUGGGGCAGAUCCCUGGCCUGGACACUGACCACUCCCCCGACCCCAGCCUCAGUUUCUCUCUGUGUCCCUGACAGCCUCUGGGCUCCUUGCACUUCUGACCCGGCAUGGGUAUAGGGAGCUGAGGGGUCUUGGCCAAGAGCUGCCAAAGGAAGGUGAGUGUGGUGUUUCCAGAAUAUUCUGAGGCCCAGAGUUGGCCCAUGGAGCCUGAGAAGCAGGGAGGGGGCCUCCGGGUCCGCACCCAGCCAGGUGGGCCUGUCAGCUUCUGCCUCCAGAAGCCCCGGGUGUGAAAGGAGCAGUCCCUGGGGAGGGAGGGGGCUUUCCUUGCUGUAGGAGGGGGAUCCUGAAGGGCAGCUGGGGAGCCCAUGGCUGAGCCAGGCCCCCUGAGAGCCCAGGCCUAUGCUUCCCUGGGGCUGGCCCUGCCCACCCUAGCCCCCAGCCCCCCACCUGCCCUCUGAGCCCCUCCUCACCUGAGCCGCAGCCCCGCUUCAUGCAACCACUUCCCUCUCCCCAACCCCCCAGUUCUUCUGGCCUCCCCAGGCCCCCCAACUCCUCUGAGCUUUUGGGAACCUUGCGGGGACCCCUUGUAGUCUGGCCUCCCAUUCAGUCCAAUGUCCCACGCCGGGGCCAGGACCCCCAGAACUGUCUCCCCAACUCCCAGGUGCUCGGGUGGCCACUGAUUAUAAUUCUCAGAAUACGGAGACUUGCACGAAAGUAGAGCACACAGUGCGGAGCCUGAAUCCGCCAGCGAGCUCAACAGGGGCCGGUUCAGAGCAGGCUGGUCUCGCCUCCUCCGGCCACCGCCCCCACUCCCGGUCAUUUGCAGGCAAUUCCCUGACUCCGCAUCGUCUGCCCGGAAGCCCUCAGUGCAUACUUAGAGCACAUGGGGCCUCGGUGACCCUGAGGUCCGGUGUGUGCACAGGAGGAAGGGCGAACACUUGACUCUGUCCCUUUCUGAUUUAUUUUAUUCCUUUUCAAAAUAAUGAGCCCUAGCCUCUGACCAAGGCCCAGUGAGGAUUCUGUAGUAUUCUUUUGAAUAAAAUGGACUUUAAAGAUAUUUGGUAUAUUUUAAUCCAUACUUUUUUUUUUUUUUUACUUUAUCACUCAUUUACUUGGAGCAUGAGGCAAAAGAGAAAAAAAAAUGCAUCAGCUUCAAAUGAUCAUCAUUUUCCAUUUGAUUGCAAAGCUGUCUGUGGAUCCUGGCACUGAAAACAUCCUAAAAUCUAAGAGCAGCCUUUACACAAAAAGUUAAUGUACACCAUAGAUUAGAAUCUCUGCAGAAUGAAUUCAUAUUGCCAUAUUUCAAACAACAAGCAGAAAGAAUGACUGCGAAAAGGAAAAAGAAUGGUCAUGGGGGACCCCAACCACAAGGUCUUAUAUUAAAGUGAAAAGCACUUGAGUUAAUAAUACUGUUAAUUAGAAAGUUUUGGUCGAUAACAACCUUUCAUAUAAAGCAUCAAUUUUCCUGUCUGUAGCGGUUUCUCAUCUUACAUUUCCAUCUAACCUGUUGUACAGUAGUUACUUAAAAGCAGAUAUUUAUCUUAAAAUAGGCUCACUUUGUGCCAUCUUUGUUGUUGCCGUCCAGUCGCUCAGCUCUGUCUGACUCUGCGACCCCAUGGGCUGCAACUUGCCAGGCUUCCCUGUCUUUUCCCACCUCCCAGAGUUUGCUCAAACUCAUGUGCGUUGACUCGGUGACGUGAAAUAACCAUCUUGUGCUCUGCCCUCCCCUUCUCCCCCUGCCCUCAACCUUUCCCAGCCGCAGGGUCUUUUCCAGUGAGUCAUCUCUUCACAUCAGGUGGCCAAAGUAUUGGAGCUUCAGCUUCAGCGUCAGCCCUUCCAGUGAAUAUUCAGGACUGAUGUCCUUUAGGAUGGACUGGUUGGAUCUCCUUGCAGUCCAAGGGACUCUCAAGAGUCUUCCCCAGAACCACAGUUCAAAAGCAUCCGUUCUUCAGCACUCAGCCUUCUUUAUGGUCCAGAGCUCACAUCCAUGCAUGACUACUGGAAAAACCAUAGCUUGGACUAUGCAGACCUUGGUCGGCAAAGUGAAAGAAACAUCACUCCGUUGUGUCUGAUUCUUUGUGACCCUUUGGACUGUAGCCCACUAGGCUCCUCUGUCCAUGAAAUUCUCCAGGCAAGAAUACUGGAGUGGAUUGCCAUUCCCUUUUCCAGAGGAUUUUCCUGACCCAGGGGUCAAACCUGGGUCUCCUGCAUUGCAGGCGGAUUCUUCACUGUCUGAGCCACAGGGGAAGCCCGUCGGCAAAGUGGUGUCUCUACUUUUUAAUACGCUGUCUAGGUUUGUCAGAGCUUUCUUCCAAAAAACAAGUGUCUUUUAAUUUCAUGGCUGCAGUCACCAUCCACAGUGAUUUUGGAGUCCAAGAAAAUAAAAUCUGCCACUAUUUCCACCCCUCCCCCAUUUAUUUGAUGUAUCAUUUUUAUGCAAUGAAAUGCAUACUUCCUUUUGAUGAGACAACUUUUCAGCAGUCAGAACUAGAAAGUAGUCUUGUUUUGAGAAAAUAGCUGAAGAGUUUAUGUUAACAUUCCCAAUUCAAAUUUAAGGAUGGGUUUGCACUUUGAUCUCAUAUUUCUCUCUCUUUUCUCUUGUACUGAAAAUCCUGGUUUCUAAGAAGCUUCCCAUGCCACAUUUUCUGCUUAUAUUACACAUAUAUGUCAUUUCAAAGCAGCAAUGCCGGUAUCAACACUGAUGACGUGACUCUCGGGGUUCCUUCUGUCCCUGGAGCGUUAGUGACACCAUUGAUAACAUUGCGCGCUGUACCAUAGCGUGGUUCAGCUAACUGAGGGACGUGCAGGCUGUUUUUAUUCUCUCACUGGUACAAAUAAGGGCUUCCCAGGUGGCGCUAGCGGUAAAGAACCCGCCUGCCGAUGCCGGAGAUGUGAGAGCCCCAGGUUUGAUCCCUGGGUCGGGAAGAUCUCCUGGAGGAGGAAAUGGCAACUCACUCCAGUAUUCUUACCUGGAGAAUCCCAUGGACAGAGGAGCCUUGUGGGCUCCAGUCCAAAGCGUCGCAAAGACUUGGACAGGACUGAAGCAACUUAGCACACACACACAAUACAAAUAAGUCACAACUCGUAGCCUUAUGUGUGUGUUCUUUUCUAGUUUUCCUGUGUGUCUGUGGGCCAGUUCCUAGAAGUGGAACCAAGCAGCCCAACCAAAUGAUAUGAGUGCUUGUCCUAAAGCUGCCAGGACCCCCUUCUGGCAGGUGACAUGCCAAAAACACCUGCUCUCCCUCAGCUCUGCCCCUGGAGCCUGUGGGAAUGCCUGGAUUUUUGCCCAUCAGAUAAGAAAGCAAUGAUCUCUCUGUGUACCUUCAAAUUUACAUUUUUUUGUGCCGAGUGACGUUGAGCAUUUUUUUUUUUUCACGAGAGCAAAGAUCGUGAAUCCGUUUUCCUGUGAGCUGCUCACGUUUUUCACCUGCUUGUCCACGGGACUGACGGUCACCUUCCCGGUCUUGGACGUUCCUUAGGUACCAGCGCCCUUAACCCUUGACCUGCGCUGCUGUUCGCAAAUUCUUUUCCAGGUCGUCAUUUGUUUGCUUUGCUUGGUUGACUUCAGUUCUUGUCUCCGGGUUCCAGCCGCAGGUGGGGGUGUUUUCGGCACGUAGAGUUUGUUGAGGAGCUCAUUCAUAUCCUCCUGUAGAGCCCACACGGCUUCGUUUCAGCUUCUACAAUGAAGCCUCUGACCGUUCAGGCUUUACCCUUGUGCAUUGUCUGCAAGGCAGAUCAACUCUUUUUUUUUCUUUCUCUUUGACUCUCCAGUUGUGCCAACACCGCCUGUUAAAAGUUCAUCUUCCUCCUGCUCAAUGGGCUGUGGAUGUCCUUGCCCUUCACUCACUCGCACACGCCUUCACUCGGAAAGUAUUGACUGAACGCCUGCAGGUGCCCUGGCUGCCCCCCAGGCCCUGUGCAGGAGACUUCCUGCCUUCUUCUGGCUCUCUGCCUGCUUUGUGUCCUAAACGAUGUGCCUUGCUGCCUCGGCCGCCCUGAGUGUCCGUGUGCCUGGCACAGGCGGGGACCCACAUCAUUCACUCCUUCUGAGAAGACAGGCUGUGCCGGCCACACCAGCCAAGUGCGGGGAGUCAGCAGGGAAGGGCAUUCGGUCCAGCAACAAGAGCUGACUUUCCUUUUUCUCAUUCUGGGAAGGAAAACAUUAUCCCUUUUGGUUUCACUCCCUAAAUAAAUGAACUACUUUUUUAAAAUUUUAUUUAUUUAUUGUAAUUAAAUUAAAACAAUUUUUAAUUACAGGAUAAUUGCUUUAAAGUGUUGUGUUGGUUUCUCCCAUACAACAAUGUGAAUGAGCUAUCAGUUCAGUUCAGUCGCUCAGUGGUGUCCAACUCUUUGCGACCCCAUGAAUCGCAGCACGCCAGGCCUCCCCAUCCAACACCAACUCCUGGAAUUCACUCAGACUCAUGUCCAUCGAGUCGGCGAUGCCAUCCACCCAUCUCAUCCUCUGUUGUCCCCUUCUCCUCCUGCCCCCAAUCCCUCCCAGCAUCAGAGUCUUUUCUAAUGAGUCAACUCUUCACAUGAGGUGACCAAAAUACUGGAGCUUCAGCUUUAGCAUCAUUCCUUCCAAAGAAAUCCCAGGGUUGAUCUCCUUCAGAAUGGACUGGUUG
Molecule: long non-coding RNA, 5702 nt
Filed under: Ovis aries (sheep)
Lineage: Eukaryota; Metazoa; Chordata; Mammalia; Artiodactyla; Bovidae
Description: lncRNA (ENSOARG00000026125.1)
Source: RNAcentral